UGUACGGCUGCUCCGUAGUAAUCACGACCGGCAACAAAAUGCCUUGAACCGAGCUUGGAGUGAGCCAACAUCUGUCGAGCAUUGACACCAUUGUCCUCGGCGAACAUCACCCAUUGACGCUUCCGAUCGACAUUUGCUAGAAAACUAAUACAAUCAUCGUAUCAUGAAUAGUUGUGUUAUAAUAUGUCAAAAGUAAUCGUAAUAAGUACGUAUACAUUAUAUAAAUACUCAUGCACUGAAACGCCAUCCACGCCUUCGACGUUGCCACAAAUCAUACAAUGUUUGACCAUUGUUAUAUUUGCCUGAAAAGAUAAAUAAUAACAUUUUGAAAAGAAAUGCAGUAAAUAUUAUUUGUUCACGGGUGACGUCCGC
Molecule: long non-coding RNA, 372 nt
Organism: Metopolophium dirhodum (rose-grain aphid)
Lineage: Eukaryota; Metazoa; Arthropoda; Insecta; Hemiptera; Aphididae
Exons: 3
Source: RefSeq, a predicted model, not a curated record